This 497-nucleotide ribosomal RNA is filed under the name uncultured bacterium. RNAcentral describes it as "partial 16S ribosomal RNA". It matches the Rfam family "Bacterial small subunit ribosomal RNA", at positions 28 to 507 of the family's 1533-position model. The record is from RNAcentral.
GAUGAACGCUGGCGGCGUGCCUAAUACAUGCAAGUCGAGCGAACAGACGAGGAGCUUGCUCCUCUGACGUUAGCGGCGGAGGGGUGAGUAACACGUGGAUAACCUACCUAUAAGACUGGGAUAACUUCGGGAAACCGGAGCUAAUACCGGAUAAUAUAUUGAACCGCAUGGUUCAAUAGUGAAAGACGGUUUUGCUGUCACUUAUAGAUGGAUCCGCGCCGCAUUAGCUAGUUGGUAAGGUAACGGCUUACCAAGGCAACGAUGCGUAGCCGACCUCAGAGGGUGAUAGGCCACACUGGAGCUGAGACACGGUCCAGACUCCUGCGAGAGGCAGCAGUAGGGAAUCUGCCGCAAAGGGCGAAAGCCUGACGGAGCAACGCCGCGUGAGUGAUGAAGGUCUUCGGAUCGUAAAACUCUGUUAUUAGGGAAGAACAAAUGUGUAAGUAACUAUGCACGUCUUGACGGUACCUAAUCAGAAAGCCACGGCUAACUACGUG